This 3364-nucleotide unclassified non-coding RNA is filed under the name Leishmania donovani. RNAcentral's name for it is "gene:LdHU3.05.1200(CDS-product:Phosphatidylinosit ol_4-phosphate_5-kinase_putative)". The record is from RNAcentral. Lineage: Eukaryota; Euglenozoa; Kinetoplastea; Trypanosomatida; Trypanosomatidae.
AGAGCUCUCUCUCUUGUUUCUCGACUCCCCUGUCUCUUCUCCCACGGCCCCGUUCGAGGCCCACCAGCCAGUACGACGACGUGCACACUCUUUACGGGCGGCGCACCUCAAGUACACACAUAGGGAGACACACACACACAAACACACGCACGCGGCGAAAGAAAAUGUCUGACGACGCCAGCGAGGUGGCGGCGGAGCUGCCGCAGAUGUGGCAGUAUAUCCACCCUACGCACAACAGCGCCGACAGCAGCGAUGACGAGGCAGACGAAGAGGAAAACGCAGAUGUGACCGACAACGACGCAGCUCGCGGAGGCCGCCCUGCCGACUACGUAAAGCUGAAAAAGUCGGCCCCACGCCUUGGCCAGCUGAUUCGCUUCCUCAACGACAUGGAGGACGAAGAUGUGCAGGGGCUGCUGCUGGAGAAUGAUCCGGUGACGCGGCAGACGCUGCUGCAGUGGGCGACGCUGAACAACCACUUCAUGCUCGUUGAGUACCUUGUGAAGCGUAUGAAGCGCGCCGCCUUCUCCUUCGAUGCCGAGUCGGUCGAGGUCGUGGUGUACGACCGGUGGGCGGAGAUGUCGCAGGAGCUACCCACGGCUGCCGAGGUGGCGGAGCGGCAGAAGCAGCGCGAGAACGAGAAGGCGAAGCGGCUGGCGGAGCGUGCGAUGGCCAACAGUGGUGACGAUGUCAUCGAGGACGAGGAGAGCGAGGAAGAGGAGGAGGUGGAGCCGAUGCCGGAGGAGCUCGUGUACGACACACUGGAGGACUACCACGGCGAGUUGGGGGAUGGCGGUGUCGGGGUGGUGAAGCGGAUUGGCGAGCUUGGCGUCUACGUGGGGCCGCGCUUGCCGGACGGCACGAAGCAGGGCCUCGGUCAGACGCUGUUCCCCUCGGGCGACUGCUACACUGGCGAGUACAAAGAGAAUCAGCGUGACGGCCGCGGCGUCUACUGGUGGUCCAAGGGCGGCGCACUUUACUGCGGCGAGUGGUUCCGAAACAUGCGCCACGGCUACGGCCGCAUGGUGUACCCGGACGGCUCCCGCUACCUCGGGCGGUGGGUGCACGGCAAGCGCAGCGGCAAGGGUCGCUACGUCUACGCCGACGGCAGCAGCUACGACGGGGCCUGGGUGAAGGACGAGAAGCACGGGAGCGGCACUUACCACCUCCUGGACGGCUCCUCCUUUAUUGGCACCUUCCACCACAACCGGUUCGUGUCGGGCGAAUGGCGCCUCGCGUCCGGCACGGUGCGCUACAUCGGCAACUUCGAAAAUGAUGCGCCGGCCGGCGCCGGCGUCUACGUGCACCGCUGCGGCCUUAAGCCGGGCACCUUCCAGCAGGAGGGCACUUACUCGGCGGAGGGAAAGUCGUGGGUGCCGAGCAUGCUCAAAUGCACGUCUCGCAUGGUGCCACACAUAGAGCUCGUGGUACCGCCGCAGCCUAGCGGUUCGACGCGGGUGCCGAUGGAGUUUGGCGCCGAGUGCACCGGCCGCACCAUGGCGGACCUCAUCAAGGUCGCCAACUACGCCCCGCUGCUGCGGUGGGUGGCCUCCCUGACCUCCGCGGCCAAGGACUUGGUAGUUGGCGAGGUGGAGUUGAAGGGGGUGGAGCUGAGGGGUGUGGAGGUGCAGACGAUGCGCUACGACGCCGCCGACCCCGAUGCAAUCACGGAGGUGACCAUCCUCCCCAUCCUCGUGGACAAUGUCGGCAAGCGCGUGCGCCCACCAUCAGAGGCGGUUACUCUGAAGCCGUCCGUCACGCGUCUGAUGGUCCUGCUGGAGGCUCCCGGCACGGAGCCGGUCGUGCUCUUGGAGAAGUCCCUGCAAAGCGCCAGCCCCGACGAGCAUCACCAGCAAAGCCGCCUUCCCGCGGUGCGCAUCAGUGAGGACUCGUCCGUGGGCGGCGACGUGGUGGACGCCGUCGGGCCCGCCCUCCGCCUGCAGCUCGCCUCUACGAAUUCCAUGGCUCUUUUGCUGCCCCCUAUGCGAUGCAACCCCAUGCAGGGCAACGCCGAGGAGUCGGUGUGGAUGUACGCCCAGGAGGUGCACCGUGAAACGGUGGCGCAGCUGGAGCACAAGCUGGAGCUGCUCUCCGCCGAGUUGCCGGAGGCGUCGACGACGUACGUGGCGGUGCCGCUGUCCGACGUGACCUCCAUUUCGACCGACGCCAUGACGGCAAUGGCGGCCGCCAAUGUGCAGCAGCGCCGCGCCGCACAGACACUGCCCAGAGCCACCGUUGCCCCGCAGCGCCCACCGACUCCGCCGCCUCCGACAUUGGAGCCGCGGCCGGAGCUGCAGCCCCUGUACGACGCCAAGGCCCGCCGUGACGAGGCAGAGUUGGAGGAGUAACACCUGCUAAAGAGGAAAAAGCAGCGGCAACUGCAAGACAUACACAUACACACAUGCACACAGGCGCAUCUCCCUCCCUCCAUAGAGGCACUACGACCGUCAUCCGUCUCUCUCUGACUUCUUUCCCCAACACACACACACACAAGCACACACAUUCUUUUUCAUCUGCUGCCGCUGUUGCAUGAUUGUGUGUGUGUGUGUGAACGUUAUGUACAUAGCAGUAAAGCCGCUCACCUGUCCAUGCCCCCCCCCCCCCCCCCCCUCGCUCCCUGACAUCGUUAGGAGGACAUCACCACUCCUCUUCUUCGCUCUCCAUAAAAGGUGGCGGUGGUGGGGAAGGUGUCGUGUCAUGAGGUAGUCCGUCGUCGCCUCUUCUACCUCAGCACACACGCGCGCACGUAGUGAUGUACAGGAGCACGUGUGUGUUUGCGUGUUAUGGUGCGCCCUUUGUUGCGUGGGCUGCCGCUGUGGGUGGUCGUAUGCGUGCGUGCAUUUAUGUACCUCUCUCCUCCUUUAUUCUCGUUGACGGCUGACGUGAAUCGCCCACCCCUUCCUCAGCCUCUCGGUGGGUGCGGUUUCUGACGGUGCGGAUGACCUGGACGGAUGCGGUCGAUGUGAUGAUGAUUGAUGAUGUACAGCAGCAGCACGCUUCUGUGUGUGCCUGUGUGUGCGUGUUCUUAUCCAAGCACAGCGAACCGAAAAGCAAACGCGAAAGGGUGGGGGAUAUCUCACUUUGUGUGUGUGUGUGUGUGUUUCGCGCGCGAGAGUGUCGCCCGUGGAGGAGGCGAGGGAAAGAGGGGCUGUGGGGCCUCCCUCCUUCCCUACAGCCACCAGCGGUGUCUCUGUCAACUCCAUCUGCACGCACGCACACACGCACACACACAGGGCAAUCACAUGAGAAACUUCCUCUCCACCCCUCGUCCAUCUUUGCAUCGAUCCGCUUGUCCUUUUCAUUUAUCUAUCCUCGUCCCCCUCCCCACCGCUGCUGCUGCUGCCUCCUGCCACCCACACCCACACAU